Molecule: ribosomal RNA, 407 nt
Filed under: uncultured bacterium
Lineage: Bacteria
Description: partial 16S ribosomal RNA
Rfam family: Bacterial small subunit ribosomal RNA
Source: RNAcentral
UGGGGAAUAUUGCACAAUGGGCGAAAGCCUGAUGCAGCAACGCCGCGUGAGGGAUGACGGCCUUCGGGUUGUAAACCUCUUUUAGUAGGGAAGAAGCGAAAGUGACGGUACCUGCAGAAAAAGCACCGGCUAACUACGUGCCAGCAGCCGCGGUAAUACGUAGGGUGCAAGCGUUGUCCGGAAUUAUUGGGCGUAAAGAGCUCGUAGGCGGUUUGUCGCGUCUGCUGUGAAAUCCCGAGGCUCAACCUGGGGUCUGCAGUGGGUACGGGCAGACUAGAGUGUGGUAGGGGAGAUUGGAAUUCCUGGUGUAGCGGUGGAAUGCGCAGAUAUCAGGAGGAACACCGAUGGCGAAGGCAGAUCUCUGGGCCAUUACUGACGCUGAGGAGCGAAAGCAUGGGGAGCGAACA